AUUGAACGCUGGCGGCAGGCCUAACACAUGCAAGUCGAACGGUAACAGGAAGAUGCUUGCUUCUUUGCUGACGAGUGGCGGACGGGUGAGUAAUGUCUGUGAAACUGCCUGAUGGAGGGGGAUAACUACUGGAAACGGUAGCUAAUACCGCAUAACGUCGCAAGACCAAAGAGGGGGACCUUCGGGCCUCUUGCCUUCGGAUGUGCCCAGAUGGGAUUAGCUAGUAGGUGGGGUAACGGCUCACCUAGGCGACGAUCCCUAGCUGGUCUGAGAGGAUGACCAGCCACACUGGAACUGAGACACGGUCCAGACUCCUACGGGAGGCAGCAGUGGGGAAUAUUGCACAAUGGGCGCAAGCCUGAUGCAGCCAUGCCGCGUGUAUGAAGAAGGCCUUCGGGUUGUAAAGUACUUUCAGCGGGGAGGAAGGGAGUAAAGUUAAUACCUUUGCUCAUUGACGUUACCCGCAGAAGAAGCACCGGCUAACUCCGUG
RNAcentral lists this ribosomal RNA (490 nucleotides) under uncultured bacterium. RNAcentral's name for it is "partial 16S ribosomal RNA". It matches the Rfam family "Bacterial small subunit ribosomal RNA", at positions 30 to 507 of the family's 1533-position model. The record is from RNAcentral.